CCUACGGGGGGCAGCAGAGAGGAAUAUUGGGCAAUGGGCGCGAGCCUGAACCAGCCAAGUAGCGGGAAGGAUGACGGCCCUACGGGUGGUAAACUUCUUUUAUAAAGGAAUAAAGUGAGGCACGUGUGCCUUUUUGUAUGUACUUUAUGAAUAAGGAUCGGCUAACUCCGUGCCAGCAGCCGCGGUAAUACGGAGGAUUCAAGCGUUAUCCGGAUUUAUUGGGUUUAAAGGGUGCGUAGGCGGUCGGAUAAGUUAGAGGUGAAAUCCCGGGGCUCAACUUCGGAAUUGCCUCUGAUACUGUUCGGCUAGAGUGUAGUUGCGGUAGGCGGAAUGUGUGGUGUAGCGGUGAAAUGCUUAGAGAUCAUGCAGAACACCGAUUGCGAAGGCAGCUUACCACGCUACUUCUGACGUUGAGGCACGAAAGCGUGGGUAUCAAACAGGAUUAGAUACCCGUGUAGUC
RNAcentral lists this ribosomal RNA (460 nucleotides) under uncultured bacterium. Its description in RNAcentral is "partial 16S ribosomal RNA". It matches the Rfam family "Bacterial small subunit ribosomal RNA", at positions 338 to 795 of the family's 1533-position model. The record is from RNAcentral.